Molecule: ribosomal RNA, 1385 nt
Filed under: Serinicoccus chungangensis
Lineage: Bacteria; Bacillati; Actinomycetota; Actinomycetes; Micrococcales; Ornithinimicrobiaceae
Description: bacterial SSU rRNA
Rfam family: Bacterial small subunit ribosomal RNA
Source: RNAcentral
UCGAACGAUGAAGCGGUGCUUGCACCGUGGAUUAGUGGCGAACGGGUGAGUAACACGUGAGUAACCUGCCUUCCACUCUGGGAUAAGCGCUGGAAACGGCGUCUAAUACUGGAUAUGACAUGACCCUGCAUGGGGUGGUGUGGAAAGAUUUAGUUCGGUGGUAGAUGGACUCGCGGCCUAUCAGCUUGUUGGUGGGGUAAUGGCCUACCAAGGCGACGACGGGUAGCCGGCCUGAGAGGGUGACCGGCCACACUGGGACUGAGACACGGCCCAGACUCCUACGGGAGGCAGCAGUGGGGAAUAUUGCACAAUGGGCGAAAGCCUGAUGCAGCGACGCCGCGUGAGGGAUGACGGCCUUCGGGUUGUAAACCUCUUUCAGCCUUGACGAAGCCCCUUUUGGGGGUGACGGUAGGGGCAGAAGAAGCACCGGCUAACUACGUGCCAGCAGCCGCGGUAAUACGUAGGGUGCGAGCGUUGUCCGGAAUUAUUGGGCGUAAAGAGCUUGUAGGCGGCUUGUCGCGUCUGCUGUGAAAGCCCGGGGCUUAACCCCGGGUCUGCAGUGGGUACGGGCAGGCUAGAGUGUGGUAGGGGAGACUGGAAUUCCUGGUGUAGCGGUGGAAUGCGCAGAUAUCAGGAGGAACACCGAUGGCGAANGCAGGUCUCUGGGCCACUACUGACGCUGAGAAGCGAAAGCGUGGGGAGCGAACAGGAUUAGAUACCCUGGUAGUCCACGCCGUNANCGUUGGGCGCUAGGUGUGGGUCCCAUUCCACGGGGUCCGUGCCGCANCUAACGCAUUNAGCGCCCCGCNUGGGGAGUACNNCCGCAAGGCUAAAACUCAANNNAAUUGACGGGGGCCCGCACAAGCGGCGGAGCAUGCGGAUUAAUUCGAUGCAACGCGAAGAACCUUACCANGGCNUGACAUACACCGGANGACUGCAGAGAUGUGGUUUCCCUUUGUGGCUGGUGUACAGGUGGUGCAUGGUNGUNGUCAGCUCGUGUCGUGAGAUGUUGGGUUAAGUCCCGCAACGAGCGCAACCCUCGUUCCANGUUGCCAGCAACACCUUUGGGUGGUUGGGGACUCAUGGGAGACUGCCGGGGUCAACUCGGAGGAAGGUGGGGAUGACGUCAAAUCAUCAUGCCCCUUACGUCUUGGGCUUCACGCNUGCUACAAUGGCCGGUACAAAGGGCUGCGAUCCCGUGAGGGGGAGCGAAUCCCAGAAAGCCGGUCUCAGUUCGGAUUGGGGUCUGCAACUCGACCCCNNGAAGUNGGAGUCGCUAGUAAUCGCAGAUCAGCAACGCUGCGGUGAAUACGUUCCCGGGCCUUGUACACACCGCCCGUCAAGUCACGAAAGUCGGUAACACCCGAAGCCGGUGGCCCAACCCU